RNAcentral lists this ribosomal RNA (253 nucleotides) under uncultured bacterium. Its description in RNAcentral is "partial 16S ribosomal RNA". It matches the Rfam family "Bacterial small subunit ribosomal RNA", at positions 524 to 776 of the family's 1533-position model. The record is from RNAcentral.
UACGUAGGGGGCAAGCGUUGUCCGGAAUCAUUGGGCGUAAAGCGCGUGUAGGCGGUUCAGUAAGUCUGCUGUGAAAGUCCAGGGCUCAACCCUGGGAUGCCGGUGGAUACUGCUGGGCUAGAGUACGGAAGAGGCGAGUGGAAUUCCUGGUGUAGCGGUGAAAUGCGCAGAUAUCAGGAGGAACACCGAUGGCGAAGGCAGGUCUCUGGGCAUUAACUGACGCUGAGGAGCGAAAGCGUGGGGAGCGAACAGG